This is a long non-coding RNA of Daphnia pulex (common water flea), 586 nucleotides long. RefSeq lists it as uncharacterized. The transcript has 2 exons. NCBI's taxonomy places the organism in Eukaryota, Metazoa, Arthropoda, Branchiopoda, Diplostraca, Daphniidae. The record is from RefSeq and is a predicted model, not a curated record.
UUCUUCACUAAAAUUCGUUUUCUUCUUUACUCAAACUCAAAUGCACUCGCCAAUUGUCGUCUGCUAUGUUGUUUUUUUUUUUUUGUCCAAGUCUUGAAACUUGGACUGUCUUCGUCUUAUUCUAAGCUGCUGUUGUGUCUUCACAUCUCUUUAAAUAUCCAAAAAAUUUCACCCCUGGUAUGAUGACGGAGAUAAUUUCAAAAUCCCUCUGAAACGAGACUCUUGGCACCUUGACCAUCAAAUAUGGAUUUCAAAGAUUUCUAAAGAGCAAUUUCUCACAGAAAAAAUCAGAUGACAUCAUGGAUUUUGUUGCUAAUCAACACGGAUGCGGACAUCUGUUACUGGAAAACAUGACAAUGUCUAAAAACUGAGCCAACCAGGAAAUGUAUCGUAAUCAACUCCCAACAGCAGCAACAAGUCCCUCUACUUUACUCUUUACUUCCUCGACUUACUACCCUAUACUUGCUUUUUCUACGAACAUAAUCAAAACUUCUCAGUUUAGCACCAAAAGCUGAAAGAACCUGGUUCUUUCAAAAAAAAUUACUUGCCGAGAGGCUAUUGUCAUCAAUAAAAUUGUUAAAACUCA